Long non-coding RNA from Oreochromis niloticus (Nile tilapia), 1072 nucleotides. RefSeq lists it as uncharacterized. The transcript has 4 exons. Lineage: Eukaryota; Metazoa; Chordata; Actinopteri; Cichliformes; Cichlidae. The record is from RefSeq and is a predicted model, not a curated record.
AACUUUGACCGCGUGAGGUUUAAAGCGACACCGUUUGUCUGUGAUCUCUGAUUCAACGGAGACCCGGUGUGGGGAUUACCGUGCUAACAUUAGACACAGUAUGUCGUCCCAAUAGGUGGAAACUGCCUCUCCCGGGCCGUGUUUUUUUCACCUACACAGGAAUGUCUUUGUUUGCAGCUACGUGCAAUAUGAGCAAUAUUGAUUAAAAACGUAAAUAUUGCCACUACACCCUCGCAAACAAUAACAUACAUCUGAAACAAUAACAAGAGUUCAGUCUGGCUCUAAAUCUUUUAUUUUAUGAAUUUAACCCCGCGAAUUUUGUUGACACUUCGCAGAUGUGUGCAAUGAGGCGUGCGUAUCGGAGGGGUGUGUCUACUCUGCAGUACACUGGUAGGCUGGAGACGCAACGUCGCUGCAUGGCGAUGUUGCCAUACAUUUACAAUCCACCAGCGGUGGCCGAGUGUGCUAAAAAAAACCCCAAAAAAACCCAACAACAACAAAAAAACCCAGACGAUUACACACCUCCACUACACGCUUUCACAAGCAAAAUACGAUUUCAGCAUGGAGGCCACUUCCUGUAGGUUUCUGCGGUACUGCUGCUCCUCCAGGUCUGGCAGGAAGAAGACUGAGAUGAUCCUCUCUGUGAUGUAGAAAGAAGCACUGAUAGAUAGACUUCAGGGGACUCAACAUGUGGCAUCCAGUCCUUGUAGUGAUGAGCCAAAGCACAGCAACUGCAGCUAGAAUAUGAAUCUGAUCUGACCACUGCCACAUCCUGAAUUGUUCCUGGGAGAGGAAAUCCAACACAGAGAGAUCUGUCACAGCAGGGAAGGCAGAAGAUAAAUGUGAGUGUCUGAGACACAGGCGUCAGCGUGCCAUCUAAAAGGAACGAGCUUCAAUCUGACAGUCAACUCAGAGCUGACAUCACGCUCCAGAGAGGGAGAAGUGAGUAAGCCUUCAAACCAGAAAGUGGAAAAAGCUAAAUUACCAGGUUUAUUCCAUGUUCUGUACUCUCACAAAAAAGUCUCUCAUGCCCAAAGUUGCUGAAAGCUAAAAUAAAAUCUGUGGGCUUUUA